Long non-coding RNA from Venturia canescens, 1736 nucleotides. RefSeq lists it as uncharacterized. The transcript has 3 exons. The record is from RefSeq and is a predicted model, not a curated record. Lineage: Eukaryota; Metazoa; Arthropoda; Insecta; Hymenoptera; Ichneumonidae.
CUCUUUGCUUUUUUUUUUUAUCUAUAGCGCACACUCAUUUUCCUCGGAUCUUACUAAAAGGAGAGACGGAACGAAAGAGAUGCAGAAACAGAGAGAGCAAGGUCGCGGCUAAGCUAUAAGUAAACUAUGCCGCGCGGGGUUUCCCUUCGCAGCUGGACACGCGGCCAAUAUUACAAAACUUGGUCCAAUUCUACUGCGUUCCGACGGUUCGGGGACCUCUCUGCUAAUAUUGAGGCGCACCGCGGCGCGUCACCGUUAGAUUUUUGGCACGACGAAUAUUGUCAAAUUUUAUCGCGUAUUUAAAAAAUGUCUAAAAUGCUUCAUUUCGAAAUUCGAAUUUCACUAAUUACGUUCCUCGAAUCUCCGAACAUUUUUUCUAUUUUUUUUUUUCACUACGCGUCCGAAACUCGAAGGUUUUUACUUCUAUGAAAAUCCUCCGCAAACAAUUUUGAAAGACAUCGGCGAGUGAUUGCGAACCAGUGGGCCCGGGUCCUCGAAAUUUUUCAAAUAAUUGUGGAAAAACGCUGCGGCUAGCGGCUCCCGACGAUCAGUUUUCUUCAUUCGUCUCCAGUUUCUUCGCCUCCGUUGCGACGCGCCUCUUCCGAGUCGAGAUUAAUUUAAUCUCAAUUGCUCUCGUUGUUUCGAAGAAAACGUUAAAAGUACUUUUUCGAAGUGCUCGAGUUUCGUGCUCGUGGCAACGAGACGAGGGCGAAUUUAUUUCAAUACUAUCAACGAACGUCGUGAAGUGCGAUUCGCUAUUUUUUGCUGCCAUACCGAGCCUCUGGGAUGAAUUUCAUCUCAAUAGGUCGCGUUGUUUCGAGCGAGUCGCUAAGUACCUUCUUAAGUAGCGAUCAUGUACGAGAACAUUCGGAGACUCGUAUCGCUGCGGCCACUAUUUCAUUGAGUAAGUAAAACGACAGUGAAAAAAAUUUUAUUUCAAAUACUCCGACGAUACUUCCACCGUCCAACAUUCACCGGAAGCUCCAGCAUUAAAAAAUUUAGUAACUCGUACGCAAGACUCGUGGCCACGUGGUUUUUCGUUUGUACAACUUCGUACGCCCCACGAACGACACUAACGAGGGGAGAAUCGACCCGAAGACUUUCAGCCUCUCUUCCAGGGGGAAGUAAGUCUCUCGAAAGUGACGUUUAACCAAAGAAACCAUUACAUCAUCCAACGAUUGCUCUGAGACCAAUUUUUUGAAAUCUCGUUAUGUUAGGGAGGAAAUUUGAUGGAAAAUCGUCGAAGCAGAUGUCAGCAAGGGCUCAACGGAUACAAAACUAUUCGAUUAUCCACUACACAAUGCGAACAUGACAGACCAAAAAUACAAUGAACAUGGGAAUAAUACACAGUCGAAGGGAAGGGGUCAACGACGGGAACAUUGACAGAGAAUAAGAAACAGAGAGAAAGAGAAAUAGAGAGAGAGAGAGAGAGAGACAAUGAUAGUGAAGUGACACAGCUGAGACAGAACUUACGAGUGUAGGUCAUUUGGCCCUGGUAGUAGGAAGGGAGGUACACGUGUUGCGCGUGUGGCGGUUGUCCAUAGACAUUCAUGGUCGCCAUGCCGAUCUCAUCACCACCUACGUAUUAGUACGCCCAUCCAGUAUACAAGUCGUUCGAAUGGUGAAAUUGAUUUGAGAAGUUCAAAAUUAUCACAACUCUUACGAGUCCGAAAAACAAAAGCUCAACUCACGUUGGUGACCGCAUUGGGAUCCGCUUUGCUUUCAAGAAGCAAAUU